This 30-nucleotide non-coding RNA is filed under the name Rattus norvegicus (Norway rat). The record is from RNAcentral. Lineage: Eukaryota; Metazoa; Chordata; Mammalia; Rodentia; Muridae.
GGUAAAUAACGAUUGGUAGUGUAAGCCGAG